GGCUCAACCAANGUAUGCUUUGGAAACUGUUAGACUUGAGUGCAGAAGGGGAGAGUGGAAUNCCAUGUGUAGCGGUGAAAUGCGUAGAUAUAUGGAGGAACACCGGUGGCGAAAGCGGCUCUCUGGUCUGUCACUGACGCUGAGGCUCGAAAGCGUGGGUAGCGAACAGGAUUAGAUACCCUGGUAGUNCACGCCGUAAACGAUGAGUGCUAGGUGUUAGGUCCUUUCCGGGACUUAGUGCCGCAGCUAACGCAAUAAGCACUCCGCCUGGGGAGUACGACCGCAAGGUUGAAACUCAAAGGAAUUGACGGGGGCCCGCACAAGCGGUGGAGCAUGUGGUUUAAUUCGAAGCAACGCGAAGAACCUUACCAGGUCUUGACAUCCCGAUGCCCGCUCUAGAGAUAGAGUUUUUCUUCGGAACAUCGGAGACAGGUGGUGCAUGGUUGUCGUCAGCUCGUGUCGUGAGAUGUUGGGUUAAGUCCCGCAACGAGCGCAACCCUUAUUGUUAGUUGCCAUCAUUGAGUUGGGCACUCUAGCGAGACUGCCGGUAAUAAACCGGAGGAAGGUGGGGAUGACGUCAAAUCAUCAUGCCCCUUAUGACCUGGGCUACACACGUGCUACAAUGGUUGGUACAACGAGUCGCAAGCCGGUGACGGCAAGCUAAUCUCUGAAAGCCAAUCUCAGUUCGGAUUGUAGGCUGCAACUCGCCUACAUGAAGUCGGAAUCGCUAGUAAUCGCGGAUCAGCACGCCGCGGUGAAUACGUUCCCGGGCCUUGUACACACCGCUCGUCACACCACGAGAGUUUGUAACACCCAAAGUCGGUGAGGUAACCAUAUAG
Molecule: ribosomal RNA, 839 nt
Filed under: uncultured bacterium
Lineage: Bacteria
Description: bacterial SSU rRNA
Rfam family: Bacterial small subunit ribosomal RNA
Source: RNAcentral